RNAcentral lists this transfer RNA (67 nucleotides) under Kalotermes flavicollis. RNAcentral's name for it is "tRNA-Cys". The record is from RNAcentral. Lineage: Eukaryota; Metazoa; Arthropoda; Insecta; Blattodea; Kalotermitidae.
AGUCUUGUAUUCAUAUUUGUGAUAACAGAAUGCAAUUCUGCAGGGAUAGAAAUUUCUAUUAAGGCUU